CGUGUCGUGAGAUGUUGGGUUAAGUCCCGCAACGAGCGCAACCCUUGAUCUUAGUUGCCAGCAUUCAGUUGGGCACUCUAAGGUGACUGCCGGUGACAAACCGGAGGAAGGUGGGGAUGACGUCAAAUCAUCAUGCCCCUUAUGACCUGGGCUACACACGUGCUACAAUGGACAGAACAAAGGGCAGCGAAACCGCGAGGUUAAGCCAAUCCCACAAAUCUGUUCUCAGUUCGGAUCGCAGUCUGCAACUCGACUGCGUGAAGCUGGAAUCGCUAGUAAUCGCGGAUCAGCAUGCCGCGGUGAAUACGUUCCCGGGUCUUGUACACACCGA
This 331-nucleotide ribosomal RNA is filed under the name Bacillus subtilis. RNAcentral's name for it is "bacterial SSU rRNA". It matches the Rfam family "Bacterial small subunit ribosomal RNA", at positions 1061 to 1393 of the family's 1533-position model. Lineage: Bacteria; Bacillati; Bacillota; Bacilli; Caryophanales; Bacillaceae. The record is from RNAcentral.